GAUGAACGCUAGCGGGAGGCCUAACACAUGCAAGCCGAGCGGUAUAGAAUCUUCGGAUUUUAGAGAGCGGCGUACGGGUGCGGGACACGUGUGCAACCUACCUUUAUCUGGAGGAUAGCCUUUCGAAAGGAAGAAUUAAUACUCCAUAAUAUAUUGAUUGGCAUCAAUUAAUAUUGAAAAGCUCCGGCGGAUAGAGAUGGGCACGCGCAAGAUUAGUUAGUUGGUGAGGUAACGGCUCACCAAGACGAUGAUCUUUAGGGGGCCUGAGAGGGUGAUCCCCACACUGGUACUGAGACACGGACCAGACUCUACGGGAGCAGCAGUGAGGAAUAUUGGACAAAUGGGUGCAAGCCUGAUCCAGCCAUCCCGCGUGAAGGACG
RNAcentral lists this ribosomal RNA (380 nucleotides) under uncultured bacterium. RNAcentral's name for it is "bacterial SSU rRNA". It matches the Rfam family "Bacterial small subunit ribosomal RNA", at positions 28 to 410 of the family's 1533-position model. The record is from RNAcentral.